RNAcentral lists this ribosomal RNA (99 nucleotides) under uncultured bacterium. Its description in RNAcentral is "partial 16S ribosomal RNA". It matches the Rfam family "Bacterial small subunit ribosomal RNA", at positions 1386 to 1482 of the family's 1533-position model. The record is from RNAcentral.
CACACCGCCCGUCACAUCACGAAAGCCGGGAGCACUUGAAGAGGCUGUGGUAACCCGCAAGGGGGCUAGGUCUCGAUGGUGAACUUGGUGAUUGGGGUG